Molecule: ribosomal RNA, 449 nt
Filed under: uncultured bacterium
Lineage: Bacteria
Description: bacterial SSU rRNA
Rfam family: Bacterial small subunit ribosomal RNA
Source: RNAcentral
AACGAACGCUGGCGGCAGGCCUAACACAUGCAAGUCGAACGCACCGCAAGGUGAGUGGCGCACGGGUGAGUAACACGUGGGAAUGUACCCUUUGGUUCGGAAUAACGUUUGGAAACGAACGCUAAUACCGGAUGAGCCCUGUGGGGGAAAGAUUUAUCGCCAAAGGAGCAGCCCGCGUCUGAUUAGCUAGUUGGUGGGGUAAAGGCCUACCAAGGCGACGAUCAGUAGCUGGUCUGAGAGGAUGAUCAGCCACACUGGGACUGAGACACGGCCCAGACUCCUACGGGAGGCAGCAGUGGGGAAUAUUGGACAAUGGGCGGAAGCCUGAUCCAGCCAUGCCGCGUGAGUGAUGAAGGCCUUCGGGUUGUAAAGCUCUUUCGUCACGCGACGAUGAUGACGGUAGCGUGAGAAGAAGCCCCGGCUAACUUCGUGCCAGCAGCCGCGGUAAU